GGAGGACAGCAUUUAAAUUGUAAAUAAAUAAACAAUUAAAAAAGGAGGCUUAAAAUUGCUACUACCUUGGGCUGGAGAGUUGGCUCAGUGGUUCAGCACACUGACUGUUCUUCUAGAGGUUCUGAGUUCCAAACCCAGCAACCACAUGGUGGCCCACAACCAUCUGUAAUGGAAUCCGAUGUCUUCUGGUGUGUCUGAAGAGAGCAACUGUGUACUUACAUACAUAAAAUACAUAAAUCUUUUUAAAAAAUUGCUCCUACCUCAAAGGAUUAUAAAUGGAGAUGAGGAUAAGCAAUUAAGGGGUUAAUACAGUAACUGAUAAUGCUGUCUGUAAAAGUGGUGAACAGUCAUAAUCAUUAUCAUUCAUUGCAAGCCUAAGAUUAAGCAAGUUGAAAUAUGCAAAGUACCAAGCACCACAGCUGUGCACUAUGCUAGGUAAUGAUUAGCUUGUAUUACUUUGACAUUGGUCAUCAGGUUUAACCCUACAGCUCAUUAUAACAUCUAAGAGUGAGAGAGAAACACCCAACCAAGCUCUUCCUCUCCUGAGCCCCAUCUUUGUUCAUGCCAAACUCUGGGGACUUUCUGUGGGGGUCAGACUUUCAUGGUAGUGGAUACAGGGCCCUAUAGGUCCGAAAAGAUGAAGUCUGAGGUAAACACGGUCUCGUUAAAAGCCAUAUUAGAUCUGGGAGCCUGUAACUGUCCCGAAUCCUGCUACUGUUGGUCUGCAUCCCCCCAGCAGCCAUCAGUGUUGUGGAAGAACUACCUCGGAUUCCUAAGCCAGCACUCUUGGUAACAGCCAGUGACAGUUCCCACCUGAUAGUAAAACUGAAGCCUGGAUUUUAUGAUGUGUUCUAACCAUUACACAAAACUCUUUACAUGCAUGCUUUACCGAAGAAAAUGAACAGGGCACAGCUACCAUCAUUCUCUGAAUUUUUACAAGAAUGAAGCUGAGGCUCAAAGACAUUAAUGGAUCCAAAGAUUAAAGUUUCUGAGGGGCAUAGGCAAGAUUUUAGUCUGGAUUCUCUGGGACUCUAACACUCUGCUCUUAACUGUCAUUUAUACCGUGGACAUGACAUUGAACAUAUGCAUAUUACUUACUUUUUCUUUUAGCAAUUUAAAAAAAAUUUCCUUUAGUCAUCAAAUAAACAUUUUCAUAUCCUGCUAUGUCUCAGGGCAACAUUCAAGGGUCCCAUUAUGACAGUUCCCCAAGAUUACUCCUCUCCUUUGCCUUUCAAAUGAUGGUGUGUCCUAAAAAUCGGACGUCGAUUGACUACGUAGCUUAGAAAUUCAACGAGCAUAUUGAGGAUUCUGUGUCCAGGCACAAUGUUAUCUGCAAAGUUGGAGGCCGGUCCCAACAUGGAAUAGGUUUGGCUUCUCACCCCACAAAUCAUCGCCAUGGACUUCGUGUCUAGAAACACUGUCUUCAGACACACCAGAAGAGAGCAUCAGAUCCAUUAUAGAUGGUUGUGAGCUACCAUGUGGUUGCUGGGAUUUGAAUUCAGGACCUCUGGAAGAACGGUCAGUGCUCUUAACCCCUGAGCCAUCUCUCCAGCCUAUGAUGAGAUAUUUUAAAAGGGAACUUUUUCCAUCAAAUGUUCAGUCCAGAAGGAGGAGCAGGUAUCCUCUGUCAUCUUUUCUUAUUCCUUUCAGGUAGGGUCUGUCCUUAAAACUAGGGACUGUGUUUUUUCAGCUAGGCUGGAAGCUAGCAAGCCAUGGUCCCCCUAUUGCUGGGGAUACAAGCACACUUGAACUGCCCAGCUUGUCACUUGGGUGCACAUGAUUGUGUAGCAAGUUUCCACAUCACCGAGCAAACCAGAGUUACUCCCCAGCCCCAUGGGGAGAGCAGUGCAAAGGGGAGAGUUAUUCAGAAGACUAUCUAACAUGCCCACAAGACGCAUGACUGGUGCUACAUCAAGAAAGUAUCAUUUCAAGCAUCUCUAACGAUAUGAGCAGAUCAAACAGAAACCACGAUCGACUCUGCUUCUCUACCUUGUUGGCUCUCCUGUCUCUUACAGGCUUUUUGGUGUCUGAAAGUCCAAGAGUUAGAUCCAGACCCUGCCAUAUCUCCAUGUUACCGCAGUGGCAACUUGACUGUCUUCCUAACUCCAAUCGAUGCCGCAAUGCAAUGGUGACUUCAUUACUAGAUGACUCGGAUUCAGGGAUUUGGACCCCAGAGAGCUUGAAAGUCCUAUUUAUGAAUGUGUCUCUGAGGCUGUUUCUGGAGGAUGGCCUUUGAGUCAGCAGACUGAGCAAGGAGACACCCUUGCAAAUGCUGGUGGGCACAAUCCAAUUCACAAGAGCUAAGGGAGGAUCAAAGGCAGAGGAAGAGACUCGCACUGCUUAGGUUAGACAUCUCCCCCUCUUGUGCUGGACACCGGCACUCUUGGUUCUUGGGUCUUUGAACGCACACUGGAGUUUUGUAUCCAUGUGCCCCUCAGUUCUUAUAAACUUUUGGCUGGAGCUGCAACUGUGCCUUUUGAGGACUGAGACAAGUCAGUCCCUCAUAAUCUCUCUCUAUAUGUCUGUGUACCUUACUGCUUCUGUUUCUCUGAAGAACCCCGAUUGAAAAUUUGGGAAGGAAUACUGCACUACUACUUUCCAGACUCUUUCUCUCCAUUUCUUUUAGUUUCUUAAGUAUAUCUAGUAUUUUGUGGUUGUUAUUUUUUCAAGACAUGGCAAAUUGUUCAUCACAGUUCUAAAGGGGCGUGGUCCUAGAUCAGAAUACUAGGGUGAGAACUCAGUGAAUGACAGAUGCAUUAACGAAGUUACCAACCACGGGCAGAAGUAACAAAGGCUCUAACCUAAGUUAAGGAACAGAAUUUCAAAGUGGAUAGAAAUAGUCGGAUGAGUAACUUCACACACAAGGAACAGUGAGUGGCCUGUGCCCUGCUACCACUGAGGAUGGUAGUAACCCUGGAGAGUAUUUUUAUAAUGCUGCCUUCUGUAGACUCAUGACUCAGAAGGAAAUUCACACGAGGAGGUGUCUUAGUGUUCUACUGCUGCAAGGAGACAGCAGACGAAGGCACCUCUUAGACAAGAAAGCACUUACUUGGAGGCUUGCUUACAGUCAGAGGGUUCAUCCAUGAUCAUCAUGACAGAAAGUAAACAUGCAUGGGGCCAAGAGCUUACACCUUGAUCCAAAGGCAGUAGGCAAAGUGAGAGAGACUAGGCUGGGUGUGGACUUUUGAAACCUCGAAGCCCACUUCCAGUGAUGCACGUUCUCCAACAGGACCACACUUCCUUAUCCUUCCCAACAGUUCCCCAGCUGGGAAAGAAGCAUGUGACAAUACAGGAGACUAUGGGGCCAUUCUCACUCCACCCUCCACAGGAGGAGAACGGGAUUAUAACAGAGAUGUGAUGUUUGUUAUCCUGAGAAGUGAAAAGCGGGCUGAGCUGAGGCCAGGCUAGACUUCGCCUCUGGAGCUCCUCUUCUCCUCUUUAGCAUCUUCUCUUUUGCCCUUCAUGUUUGCUCAGUGCCUUUUCUUGCCACCCACAUGAAGACCUGCUUUACUGUGCACUUCUGCACAGAAUAUGCACAUGCAAUCACAUAAAGUCUCCUUCUUUCCCUCCUCUCCAUUUGCUCAUCUCCAGCUCAUUCAGGUUUUCAGAGAAAGGACGUGGUCAGAAGAUCUAUCUCACCUCUAUCAGCUGUUGGGUCUGAAAUUAGGAUCCGGUCACGUGGGGUGGGGGUUGGGUGGCCUAUGGGAACUGGGAGCCUGCUAAGCAUUUAGCAUGAGUCAGAUGCCAUUUCAAAUACUUCGUGUGCAUUAACUCAUUGGUUUCAUCGCAGCCCUGUGGAACAGAUUCCUGUAUCUCCAUUUAACAGAUUAGCAAGUGAACAUUACAUCCUCAGGUCCAGACAGAGAGAUGAGCAAUGGAAAAGCUGACUUAUCAUCGUGGGGUAGUGCAGAUAAUACGUAGUGAAGAGUCAACCUGAGCACCUGUGGCUCUAGCAUAACUCCUUCAACUGUUGUCAUCUAAAGCUUGAGUGGGUCGGGAUUGUCCAAGAGGACCUCAUGCAUAUGCUGGACAACUAUCUGAGGCUGUAGGCUCAGGCCCCCUCCUCCAAGUGAUCUUUUCAAAGGGUACUUCGGGUUCUUUGCUUAGUAGCUAGAUAUGAAGAAUUCCAAAUGUCAUCCAGAGAAUUACAUUGAUGCAGCAGCAGCCUCCAAAUAUGUCACCACACUGAGUUGUCACACAGAACACACAGUCAGGCAGACCAAAUCAAGAUCCUUGAGUGACACACACACACACACACACACACACACAUAUAAACACACACAUAUAUAAACACACACAUAUGUAAAACACACACAGAUAUAUAAAUACACACAUACACACACGUAUAUAAACAUGCACACACAUAUAUAAACACACAUACACACACACAUAUAUAAAACACACACAUAGAUAUAUAAACACAUACACACACACAUAUAUAUAUAAUCACACACACAUAUAAACACACACAUAUAUAAACACACACAUAUAUAAACACACACAUAUAUAAACAUACACACAUAUAUAUAAACACACAUAUAAACACACACAUACACACACAUAUAUAUAAACACACAUAUAUAAACACAUACACACAGAUAUAUAAACACAUACACACACAUAUAUAUAAAAACACGCACGCACGCGCACACACACACACACAUGUUUAACAUAAAAACAUGCCUUUAAAUUCUUUUGUCCCCAUUUAGAAGUGGGGUCUGUAUACUGGUGAUGCUCAAUCUUGACUGUCAACUUGAUUGGAUUAAUAAAGGCCUAGGAGAUUAGUGAAGCACACUUGGAGCUGCUUGUAAUGACACACACAGAGACAAUUAAAUCAUGAGGGCUCAGGCUUAAUCAAUAGAUUAAUCACUUGAUGGAUUCCUAAUGUGGUAGCAGUAAAAGAUAGGAAGUGGUGGCUCCUGGGAGGAAGUCUCUGGGGGCAUGUCCUCAGGGCCUGCUUUGGCUGGCUCUUUGGUAUUUCCUUUUUCUUUCUGCUUCCCCUCCCCCAGCAAGGGAGGCUUGCCCUGUGCUACCUGCUCUUGCCACCACCAUGACUUCUCAGAGCACUCAAAGCCAAACAACCAGAGGCCGGACACUCUGAAACUGUGAGCCCACAAUACAACUUGAUACUUUGUUUCUUUAAGGCAUGUUGGUCACAGCAACUAAAGAAGCAGAAGAGUGCCUUCCCUCUGACUCUGGGCUGGCUUUAGUGGCUUGCUUCCCCAGCUAGUAGAACAGAGAAUAUAAUAUGAGAGAUGUUACCUGACUUCCAAGGACAGGGCUGAAGAGGACACAAGCCUGGCUCCUUUCAGAGUCUCAUGUUGGGGAAAGUCAAUGGCCAGGUCAAAAGUUUGCCGUGUUGGAAGGGCUGAGUUUCCAGGUAGCCAGCAGCCAGUGUCACAUGUCAGCUACAUGGUGAGUCAUUUUGGAUGUCUGGCCCACAUAAACCUUCGAAUGGCAGCAUCUGAUCGCAACUAAUUUAAAGACUUCAAGAAAGAGCUGCAAAAUCACAGGCAAAAUAAACUAAGCCACUAAAGUUUGGUUCACUCAAAGAACAACGACCAGCUAGCACAACUGACUCACUGAUGAUGCCUGGGCAGUGUUCUUGUGCCCUGCUCCUGAGCUGUGCUGGUCUUCUCUCCAGGAAGUGUAUUAUAGGGACUAAGCAGGACAAUGAGGACUGUGCACAUGAUCCUGCUUCUGUCAGUCUCCCUCCCUUUUCAUCCCCGCCCUCCCCACUCCAGCUGCCUCUGUAGAAAGAGGGCAGUAUUCCUCUGCAAAGGCUGGGUAUAGGGAACGGAAGUCACCAAUGAGGCCACUGAGAAUUUAUCCCCUUGUCUUAUUUUAUCUGGUUCAUGCCAUGACCUAUGAAGUUCUAGCCUUCAUCCCAGUGUGUUAGUCAAUCAUAAGAUGGGAUCCACAUUUCCUGGCUACAGUAGCAGAGAGUCUGUUCCUGGCUUCCUUCGGGUGAAGAUAUAGAACUCAACUUCUCCUGCACCAUGCCUGCCUGGAUGCUGCCGUGCUCCUGCCUUGAUGAUAAUAGACUGAACCUCUGAACCUGUAAGCCAGCCCCAAUUAAAUGUUGUCCUUCUUAAAACUUA
Molecule: non-coding RNA, 6101 nt
Organism: Rattus norvegicus (Norway rat)
Lineage: Eukaryota; Metazoa; Chordata; Mammalia; Rodentia; Muridae
Source: RefSeq, a predicted model, not a curated record